RNAcentral lists this ribosomal RNA (497 nucleotides) under uncultured bacterium. Its description in RNAcentral is "partial 16S ribosomal RNA". It matches the Rfam family "Bacterial small subunit ribosomal RNA", at positions 28 to 507 of the family's 1533-position model. The record is from RNAcentral.
GAUGAACGCUGGCGGCGUGCCUAAUACAUGCAAGUCGAGCGAACAGACGAGGAGCUUGCUCCUCUGACGUUAGCGGCGGACUGGUGAGUAACACGUGGAUAACCUACCUAUAAGACUGGGAUAACUUCGGGAAACCGGAGCUAAUACCGGAUAAUAUAUUGAACCGCAUGGUUCAAUAGUGAAAGACGGUUUUGCUGUCCCUUAUAGAUGGAUCCUCGCCGCAUUAGCUAGUUGGUACGGUAACGGCUUACCAAGGCAACGAUGCGAAGCCGACCUGAGAGGGGGAACCGCCAAAGUUGGAAUGAAGACCGGCCCCGACUCCUAAGGGAGGGAGCAGUUGGGAAUUUUGGAGAAUGGGGGGAAACCUGAACGAGCCAGGGCGGGGGGGGGAAGAAGGCCUUCGGGUUGUAAAAAGCUUUUGAUAGGGAAGAAACAAUGUGGGAAAAAAAAAGGAGGGGAUGAAGGUACCGAAAGAAAAAGGCCAGGAUAAAUAAGUG